AGAUGAGAUGACGAAUGAGAUUAAUUUCCCUAUUGGUUUGAUUGGCUGAUAUGAUGGCCUAAAUACUGAACCAAAUCAGGUCACCA
Molecule: small nucleolar RNA, 86 nt
Filed under: Triticum aestivum (bread wheat)
Lineage: Eukaryota; Viridiplantae; Streptophyta; Magnoliopsida; Poales; Poaceae
Description: Small nucleolar RNA Z102/R77
Rfam family: Small nucleolar RNA Z102/R77
About the family: Z102 and R77 and are members of the C/D class of snoRNA which contain the C (UGAUGA) and D (CUGA) box motifs.
Source: Rfam by way of RNAcentral